Molecule: ribosomal RNA, 255 nt
Filed under: uncultured bacterium
Lineage: Bacteria
Description: partial 16S ribosomal RNA
Rfam family: Bacterial small subunit ribosomal RNA
Source: RNAcentral
CGGACGGGUGAGUAACGCGUGGGCAACCUGCCUUACACAGGGGGACAACAGCUGGAAACGGCUGCUAAUACCGCAUAUGCGCACAGGGCCGCAUGGCCUGGUGCGGAAAACUCCGGUGGUGUAAGAUGGGCCCGCGUCUGAUUAGGUAGUUGGCGGGGUAACGGCCCACCAAGCCGACGAUCAGUAGCCGGCCUGAGAGGGUGGACGGCCACAUUGGGACUGAGACACGGCCCAAACUCCUACGGGAGGCAGCAG